Scleropages formosus (Asian bonytongue) is the source of this 2266-nucleotide long non-coding RNA. RefSeq lists it as uncharacterized. The record is from RefSeq and is a predicted model, not a curated record. NCBI's taxonomy places the organism in Eukaryota, Metazoa, Chordata, Actinopteri, Osteoglossiformes, Osteoglossidae. The transcript is spliced from 4 exons.
UUUUCCAUCAGAAGCCAAGUUUAGGUGGGAUGGGGUGGCAGGUUUGACCGGUGCCUCGUUGUGUGGCAGGUCUGGCCCUCCAGUACUGCUUGGGGUGCAUGGCAGCUCCGUGUUUCUCCCUGCGUUUGCCUCCCCCAACAUGCGGAGGAAGGACCUGGUAACCCACCUCUGUUCCUCCCAUGACUUGCCUUGAAAACCACACAAUGGGUCGGGUUUGACUCAGCCAGCAUGUACGUACGCACCCAAGUUUAUCCCUAUGUUUUCUGCCAUCUGCAGUGUCUGAACCCACACAAAAAGUUUGGGAAUGUGUGUACAUUCUCCCCACAAGUAAAACAUAUUAACUGCUGCAGGAGCGUAACAGUGAUUAGAGCUGCUGACUACAGACCCAAAGGUCAUAUGUUCAUAUCCUCCCUCAAGCUGCAAUAUUGUUGAUUAAGGUACUAACCCUCAGUUGUUUGAGUAAGAUUACCCAGCUGUAUAAAUGGAUAAAUAACUACAAGUAGAUUAACAUAAGUCUCUUUGGAGAAACAUAUCAGUUAAAUGAAUAAAUGUAAAGAUCCAGUACAUCUCACUUAAGGUUAUACCGAUGCUGCUGUUACAACAACCUCAGAUUCUUCUACCCUUUCUUCGGUAUUCUUUCCAGAAUGAUCCACAUUGCCUCAAACCCCUUGUCCUCCUGCACAGCCUCUUUCUUUAUUAUUAGAACACGGCCUAGUGGUUCACUUGCUCACAUUGCAAAGUGAAGGUCCCUGCUUGAAAUCCCACUUCUGCUGCAGUACCCUUGAUCAAGAUUGUUUUCUGCAGAGGCCGCCGUUGUGUCAAAGUGCCUAGUUGCAACCCGAGACCCCAUGACCUGGGGUCCGCCUCCUGUGGCAGCUGUCACACACUCUUUCUGUCUCUCACCGGUUCCCUGGCCCUGGAGAUCCCGCCUCCACUAUGAGGGGGCAUCCACAACGCUCCAAACAUAGAAACUAGCAAACGUGAAACUCCAAAGUAGAUCACACCAAGUUCACGUUCCGAAGGCUAAGGACAUGGAUUGUCACCAAGGGCUGUCUUUUCAAAUCCCAUGAGAAUACCCUUGAUAUAGGUACAUUAAGGUGCCGUCAACUGGAUGUCGACUCACGGCGACUCUAUGAAUAGUUGUCCUGAAAAGUGUCCGGUCUUCCGCCAACUGGCUAAGAUUUGGAAGUGGGGCAUCCAUGGCUAUGGACAUUGUGUCGAUCCACUGCACAGCAGGCCUUCUUCUUCUACAUUGACCUUCCACUUUGCCCAGCAUGAUGUCCUUUUCCAUUGACCAUUCUCUCUGCAUGAUGUGCCUGAAGUAAGAGAGUCAAAGCCAUGUCAUCUGAGCUUCCAGUGACAUCUUUGGUCUGAUCUGCUGCAAUACCCACGCAUUUGUUUUCCGGGCCGUCCAGGGUAAACGCAGGAUUCUUCGCCAGCACCAUAGUUCAAAGGCGUCAGUUUUCUUCCAGUCCAUCUUCUUCACUGUCCAACUCUCACAUCUGUAUGAUGUGACCGAGAAGACCACGGCUUGAACUAAUCGGACUUUUGUGUAGAGAGUCACAUCCCUGCACUUGAGAAUUUUGUCCAAGCUCUUCAAGGCAGUUUUGCCAAGAGCAAUUCGUUGUCGGAUUUCCUGGCUGCUUGUUACUUCUUUAUUGGUUAUUAAUCCGAGUAGACUGAAGUUAUCGCUAAUUCUCCUACAUCAGCCUUGGAUGACAUAGAAGAGAAUUUCAGCAGAAACACUGCGCUGUAUCGGCAUCCCCAGCGCAAGCAGAGUCUGAGAGAACUCUGAGCAGAGAACUGCUGGCUGCUUCAUGCUGCUCUGUGGCUGAACCCUCCCCCUGCCCCAACAUCCCUUUUAAUGGGGAGACUCCCUGCUCCUCCGCACUGGACCUUCCCUUGCUCCCCAGCGUGAUUGUGCUGGGCAGAGGGAGACUGGUUGCCAGGGUGAUGAGCAGGAGACAGGUCCCCUUCCUGCAGCCCUUCAUGGACGACUGCGCUGCUACACACCUGGACAGUGACACUGAGAGGGGAGGGAGGAAGCUUUCAUUUAGAGCAUGUUGAAGGAGUCAAAUUAUAAAUGCCAUAGAACCCUUCCAUAUGCUGGCUUGAAUAUACAGUAAGUAUACCUGUACAGGAUGAUACUUGUGAGGCUUCCACAAUCUGCUGUUGAUUUUUGUAGUAUGCAAUAAUACUAGGGACUGUUACAAGAGUGGGUGCUCACACCAGCAUGUGAAUUUUUUUCCUUGCAUAAAAAGGCUUU